UGCUGGAGGUAUCAGAAGUGCGAAUGCUGACAUAAGUAACGAUAAAGCGGGUGAAAAGCCCGCUCGCCGGAAGACCAAGGGUUCCUGUCCAACGUUAAUCGGGGCAGGGUGAGUCGACCCCUAAGGCGAGGCCGAAAGGCGUAGUCGAUGGGAAACAGGUUAAUAUUCCUGUACUUGGUGUUACUGCGAAGGGGGGACGGAGAAGGCUAUGUUGGCCGGGCGACGGUUGUCCCGGUUUAAGCGUGUAGGCUGGUUUUCCAGGCAAAUCCGGAAAAUCAAGGCUGAGGCGUGAUGACGAGGCACUACGGUGCUGAAGCAACAAAUGCCCUGCUUCCAGGAAAAGCCUCUAAGCAUCAGGUAACAUCAAAUCGUACCCCAAACCGACACAGGUGGUCAGGUAGAGAAUACCAAGGCGCUUGAGAGAACUCGGGUGAAGGAACUAGGCAAAAUGGUGCCGUAACUUCGGGAGAAGGCACGCUGAUACGUAGGUGAAGCGACUUGCUCGUGGAGCUGAAAUCAGUCGAAGAUACCAGCUGGCUGCAACUGUUUAUUAAAAACACAGCACUGUGCAAACACGAAAGUGGACGUAUACGGUGUGACGCCUGCCCGGUGCCGGAAGGUUAAUUGAUGGGGUUAGCGGUAACGCGAAGCUCUUGAUCGAAGCCCCGGUAAACGGCGGCCGUAACUAUAACGGUCCUAAGGUAGCGAAAUUCCUUGUCGGGUAAGUUCCGACCUGCACGAAUGGCGUAAUGAUGGCCAGGCUGUCUCCACCCGAGACUCAGUGAAAUUGAACUCGCUGUGAAGAUGCAGUGUACCCGCGGCAAGACGGAAAGACCCCGUGAACCUUUACUAUAGCUUGACACUGAACAUUGAGCCUUGAUGUGUAGGAUAGGUGGGAGGCUUUGAAGUGUGGACGCCAGUCUGCAUGGAGCCGACCUUGAAAUACCACCCUUUAAUGUUUGAUGUUCUAACGUUGGCCCCUGAUCGGGGUUGCGGACAGUGUCUGGUGGGUAGUUUGACUGGGGCGGUCUCCUCCUAAAGAGUAACGGAGGAGCACGAAGGUUGGCUAAUCCUGGUCGGACAUCAGGAGGUUAGUGCAAUGGCAUAAGCCAGCUUGACUGCGAGCGUGACGGCGCGAGCAGGUGCGAAAGCAGGUCAUAGUGAUCCGGUGGUUCUGAAUGGAAGGGCCAUCGCUCAACGGAUAAAAGGUACUCCGGGGAUAACAGGCUGAUACCGCCCAAGAGUUCAUAUCGACGGCGGUGUUUGGCACCUCGAUGUCGGCUCAUCACAUCCUGGGGCUGAAGUAGGUCCCAAGGGUAUGGCUGUUCGCCAUUUAAAGUGGUACGCGAGCUGGGUUUAGAACGUCGUGAGACAGUUCGGUCCCUAUCUGCCGUGGGCGCUGGAGAACUGAGGGGGGCUGCUCCUAGUACGAGAGGACCGGAGUGGACGCAUCACUGGUGUUCGGGUUGUCAUGCCAAUGGCACUGCCCGGUAGCUAAAUGCGGAAGAGAUAAGUGCUGAAAGCAUCUAAGCACGAAACUUGCCCCGAGAUGAGUUCUCCCUGACUCCUUGAGAGUCCUGAAGGAACGUUGAAGACGACGACGUUGAUAGGCCGGGUGUGUAAGCGCAGCGAUGCGUUGAGCUAACCGGUACUAAUGAACCGUGAGGCUUAACCUUACAACGCCGAAG
Molecule: ribosomal RNA, 1688 nt
Filed under: Escherichia coli
Lineage: Bacteria; Pseudomonadati; Pseudomonadota; Gammaproteobacteria; Enterobacterales; Enterobacteriaceae
Description: partial 23S ribosomal RNA
Rfam family: Bacterial large subunit ribosomal RNA
Source: RNAcentral